UGGGGAAUAUUGCACAAUGGGGGCAACCCUGAUGCAGCCAUGCCGCGUGUGUGAAGAAGGCCUUCGGGUUGUAAAGCACUUUCAGUGGGGAGGAAAGGUGAGUGGCUAAUAACCCCUUACUGUGACGUUACCCACAGAAGAAGCACCGGCUAACUCCGUGCCAGCAGCCGCGGUAAUGCGGAGGGUGCAAGCGUUAAUCGGAAUGACUGGGCGUAAAGCGCACGCAGGCGGUCUGUUAAGCCAGAUGUGAAAGCCCCGGGCUCAACCUGGGAACUGCAUUUGGAACUGGCAGGCUAGAGUCUUGGAGAGGGGGGUAGAAUUUCCGGUGUAGCGGUGAAAUGCGUAGAGAUCGGAAGGAAUACCAGUGGCGAAGGCGGCCCCCUGGCCAAAGACUGACGCUCAGGUGCGAAAGCGUGGGGAGCAA
This 424-nucleotide ribosomal RNA is filed under the name uncultured bacterium. Its description in RNAcentral is "bacterial SSU rRNA". It matches the Rfam family "Bacterial small subunit ribosomal RNA", at positions 355 to 771 of the family's 1533-position model. The record is from RNAcentral.